GGGAGAGGGAGAGAAAACAUACAAUUAUGUAUGUCUGGAGCACACCAUAUUAAAGGAGGGAGUGGCAGAAAACGUGAGGUGGGAAUCAAAUCAUGCUGGGCUUUUUGGCCAGCAAACUUGGAAAUCAUGUCUUAGAGAUCAAGGAGCCAAGAGAUGAGACAAGCCUGGGUUCCUAGGUGAUAGGGUGUGGCUGUGUCCCCACCCAAAUCUCGUCUUGAAUUGUAGCUCCCAUAAUCCCCACAUGUUGUGGAGGGACCCUGUGGAAGAUUGUGCCUGCAGCCUGGCCUGUUGCCCACAGCGGUCUACCUGCCACACUGGGAAAGAUCGAGCAGAGACAGAGAAGAAAAGGAGGCUCCAUUUUUCAGGCUGCUCUCCCGCAGGCUCAUGUUUUGUGUUCAUGCCAGGCAGAGAACACAAAAUGUUCCAAUAAAUAAGUAUCAAAGCAUCUACUUGUUUCCAAAGUUAUUUGGGUCAGCAUUUUCCUCCACCCACCACUUAAAACUGAUUUGUUUCAUACAUUUGAAAUGUAUGAAAAGCCAGAAAUCCAGGACCCACCCUGGCCUGCUCCCUUUUUCUCACCUACUGUGUUAAGGAUAAGUCAAUUGAGCUUCACUUCUCUAAUUGAAAUCACCGUGCUGAUGGAGUCUGUCUGUGGAAAUGAAAGGUGGCUACCAUAAUCUGUUGGGAGUUGAAUUAAUCCUCUGGGAGUGAGGCUGACCUAAUUACUCAGAAAUACUGGGCUUGCUUUCAUUCUGUGGAAUACAGCCAUGAGAAAGAGGCCAGCAUGCCAUUUCCUAAUCUUUUCUUGAAUUGCCUGAAACUCACCUAACAUGAAACUGAGAAGCCUUUUCAUUUGAAAGUGGUAUUUCUUAUGUUUUUUAUCUUUUUGCUUGAAAGUAUUCUUAAACUAAAGAAAGGAGAAACAGAAAAGGUGAAGAAGCCAAGAGGCUGGAGUUUCCUUUUGAAUGGAUAUUCAUCCAUGAAGCUGUUGAUUCUGUUUUUCUGUUCCUCCAGAUGUCUACACUUUUACCUCUGCUUGCCUGAUACAACCACCACCAGUCACCUCACAGAAUAACUCACUCCUUAAGAAUCUGAUCAGGAAUCAGCCUUCCCUGAUCACAAACACUGAGUUUAGAAGUCCCUCCACAGUGUCCCCCGUAACCCUGUGCUACCUCACUGCCUCAUAGUUUAGUGCCGUUUGUGUACAUGCCUAUCUUCGUCCAUGGAUCCAGAACAACUUGUAAAAAUGACUGUACUUAUCACCUUCAGUAUUCAAUGACUAAACUAUAAUUUUAACAUAUCUGGCAGAAUGAAUCACUUGGGGAUUUCUGCCAACACUACCAAUAUAUUACUCCUAAUUUGUAAUUAUUACUUAGCAUGGAUUAUAGUACCGGCUGUUGGAGAGCCAAUGUGGCAGACCCUAAGUGGAAUAAAAUGUCAGUAGCAGUCUAGGAGCAUAUAUUUAUUGGAAUAGAUCAUUCAUUCAUUUGUUCAUUAACUAAUUUGUUCAUUAAAUAAACAUUUAUUAAGCA
Molecule: long non-coding RNA, 1532 nt
Filed under: Homo sapiens (human)
Lineage: Eukaryota; Metazoa; Chordata; Mammalia; Primates; Hominidae
Description: CCDC26 long non-coding RNA
Source: RNAcentral